This 420-nucleotide ribosomal RNA is filed under the name uncultured bacterium. Its description in RNAcentral is "bacterial SSU rRNA". It matches the Rfam family "Bacterial small subunit ribosomal RNA", at positions 401 to 836 of the family's 1533-position model. The record is from RNAcentral.
GCGGGGAUGAAGCCUUUCGGGCUGUAAACCGCUUUCAGCAGGAACGAAAAUGACGGUACCUGCAGAAGAAGGAGCGGCCAACUACGUGCCAGCAGCCGCGGUGACACGUAGGCUCCAAGCGUUGUCCGGAUUUAUUGGGCGUAAAGAGCUCGUAGGCGGUUUAGUAAGUCGGGUGUUAAAACUCUGGGCUCAACCCGGAGAGGCCAUCCGAUACUGCUGUGACUUGAGUUCAGGAGGGGAGCGGGGAAUUCCUAGUGUAGCGGUGAAAUGCGCAGAUAUUAGGAGGAACACCGGUGGCGAAGGCGCCGCUCUGGACUGAAACUGACGCUGAGGAGCGAAAGCAUGGGUAGCAAACAGGAUUAGAUACCCUGGUAGUCCAUGCCGUAAACGGUGGGCACUAGGUGUGGGUUCCAACUAACG